UACGUAGGGGGGCAAGCGUUUGUCCGGAAUCAUUGGGCGUAAAGAGCGCGUAGGCGGCCCAGUAAGUCCGCUCUGGAAAGUCAGGGGCUCAACCCCUGAAUGCGGGUGGAUACUGCUGGGCUAGAGUCCGGAAGAGGCGAGUGGAAUUCCUGGUGUAGCGGUGAAAUGCGCAGAUAUCAGGAGGAACACCGAUGGCGAAGGCGGGUCUCUGGGCAGUAACUGACGCUGAGGAGCGAAAGCGUGGGGAGCGAACAGG
This 256-nucleotide ribosomal RNA is filed under the name uncultured bacterium. RNAcentral's name for it is "partial 16S ribosomal RNA". It matches the Rfam family "Bacterial small subunit ribosomal RNA", at positions 524 to 776 of the family's 1533-position model. The record is from RNAcentral.